AGCGGUGGAUGCCAUUAAGUACGGCGAGUGAAGCGGCAAAAGCUCAAAUUUGAAAUCUGGUACCUUCGGUGCCCGAGUUGUAAUUUGGAGAGGGCAACUUUGGGGCCGUUCCUUGUCUAUGUUCCUUGGAACAGGACGUCAUAGAGGGUGAGAAUCCCGUGUGGCGAGGAGUGCGGUUCUUUGUAAAGUGCCUUCGAAGAGUCGAGUUGUUUGGGAAUGCAGCUCUAAGUGGGUGGUAAAUUCCAUCUAAAGCUAAAUAUUGGCGAGAGACCGAUAGCGAACAAGUACAGUGAUGGAAAGAUGAAAAGAACUUUGAAAAGAGAGUGAAAAAGUACGUGAAAUUGUUGAAAGGGAAGGGCAUUUGAUCAGACAUGGUGUUUUGUGCCCUCUGCUCCUUGUGGGUAGGGGAAUCUCGCAUUUCACUGGGCCAGCAUCAGUUUUGGUGGCAGGAUAAAUCCAUAGGAAUGUAGCUUGCCUCGGUAAGUAUUAUAGCCUGUGGGAAUACUGCCAGCUGGGACUGAGGACUGCGACGUAAGUCAAGGAUGCUGGCAUAAUGGUUAUAUGCCGCCCGUCUUGAACCCCGGACA
This 587-nucleotide ribosomal RNA is filed under the name Saccharomyces cerevisiae (brewer's yeast). RNAcentral describes it as "eukaryotic LSU rRNA". It matches the Rfam family "Eukaryotic large subunit ribosomal RNA", at positions 67 to 667 of the family's 3401-position model. Lineage: Eukaryota; Fungi; Ascomycota; Saccharomycetes; Saccharomycetales; Saccharomycetaceae. The record is from RNAcentral.